Molecule: long non-coding RNA, 454 nt
Organism: Bufo bufo (common toad)
Lineage: Eukaryota; Metazoa; Chordata; Amphibia; Anura; Bufonidae
Exons: 3
Source: RefSeq, a predicted model, not a curated record
UGUGUGCAAUUAUAGAUGGCGUGACAACAUCAUCACCUCCUGAGACCCGGCAGAAGAGAAAUUAGUAUUUUUUUUUGUGGGGCAAGUUGCGAUCAGGAGACAUCAUCAUACUGAUCUCUCCAGAAUCAAGAAAAAAAGGAAUGAGAAUGACUCCAGUCAGAGAAGACAUCACAAAAAGGAACAUGUGAACAAAUAGAUGUGGACAACACACAGAUGACACCUGUCUGAAUUUUUUUUGGUCCCAUAGAAAUUAAUGGGUCUGUGUUCGAUCUGCAAGAAAUGCGGAUCAGACGCGGACCAACUAUACAGUAAUGUCCAUGAUGCCUAAAAUCAAUCAAAUACUUUAAGUAGCCGAAAAUAAUAGCAAUGAAAGCUACAAGUCGUCCUACAAAAAUCAAGCCCUUGCACAGCUUCAUAGAAAGAAAAAUAAAACAGGAUGCUGCAAUGCAAAAGC